CUUUGCAGCACACAUACAUACCUCUUGCUGCUCUCAGUGGUCUCCAACAGGGCGGAGUCCUUGCCAUUGCCAGAGGAGGAGCUAUGUGAGCUCCGCUGGGAUGCACCCCUGGACUCAUUCCCAUUGGACUCAUUGCCACUUGAGCCAUUGCUAUUGGCAUCGGUGUCAUCAGCCAGGCUGGGGCCUGGGCAAGGGCGCGUGGUGGGGGCCAGGGGAUGGGACUUCUCUAGGACAAAAGGAUUCUCCUGGCCUAGGGUCCCCUCCCCCAUCAGCCCCUUCCAAGGGGCCACUCAUGUCUGGGCCAUGUGGAGGUGAACAGGAAAACAGAGAGGGUGGAGAUGUCACCACGCACACCCAAGGGGGCUUUGAGGCCUGGCUGAGGGAGUGAGGUGGAAUCUGUCUCUGAGGAUUAAGAGUGAUCACAGCCAGCACCUAGAAGAGGAGGCCAGAAAGGAGAGUUUGAAGAAAGCUUAUCGAUUUACCCCACAGCACCUGCCAGCUUCAUUCAGCCCGUCUUGCUUGCCCCACGUUCCUGGGACCCAGGCCUGGAGCUUCCAAUAGGGAACCAAGGUAAAUUCUGUUUCUGUCCUCGUAAAGGUGCUGCAGCUGGGUAAAGAAGCUCUUUAGGGCCUUCCCCCACAUUCCCUGCCAGCGUGACCUGGGUAAGUGGAGCCUGAUCAAUCGACUAGAACUAUGGCCAUGGGCCAAAACCUGAACGUUUCACAUUCCGUGGUUCCUAUAAGGCCCACACUAGGCCAGGGACUCCAAGGCUGCAGAAUUUUUGGGUGAACUGAUCGCCUCCUAUAUUUAGGCUUCGGGGCUAAUUUUAUCCAGGGGCGGCACCACCCCCGCUGCACAUGCGCACCGACAUGCGGGGCCCACCACGCGCUUCCCGCCGCCGCUGCGGUCGCCAAGGAAACCGACGUCAGCUGCUGAGCUCAGCGGUUGCUGGAGGGACCCACAGGAGGCUCCCAACCACCAAGACUAAAGCCGGCACCUGCCCUCGUCAAGGAUCCAGAAAUCCCUCUCCUCGGUCUUACUUUUCUAGCCCGUGCACCGAAGCCUUGGGCAGGAGACGCACAACAGUCAUCACAGUUCUGCCUUUACUACCCGUCCUAGCACACUCCCAUCCCCGAACAUUUUCAGAGCGCCAGGAAAAAAGGAAGGCUGUGGCCAACAGCAGGAACUAACGCUGGGAACGGGAUGUUCCUGUUCGAAGCGGGCUUACAUCACGGGCGGCGCAGGGCCAGGGACUGGGGGGGGAGCGCCAAAAGCCUGAAGGGGUCUUGUUGCCAGUGCAAACCUGGAGACCCCUGAGUGACAAGAAAGGAGACAGGCGGCAACCCCGCGGUGGGUCUGUUGUGGGGCCGGGAUGGGUGGGGCAGGGGAGGAAAGCUGGAGGUAAGGUGAGCAGGUCAGGAAUGAGAACUCCGAUGCAGGGUAGUGAGGAGCACCGAGGUCCCCAGGGCCAGAGAAUGGAUGGACAGCAACAAGGAAGACAGAUUAGUGUCGUCCUGUCUGAGCGCCUGAGCCCAUAAGAUUGGAAGUGGCGCCGGCCCGGCUCGGGGACGAAGACUGGCUAUGGGGUGGCCACGGAGAUGCCUACCUGGCCGUGCGAGCGCCCUCCAGCCGCCUGCUCGAUGCCGUUUCCAGCCCGCAGCCGAGUAGAAGCUCUGCGAGGCGGGGAGGCGGGUUGCAUAAUACCAGGCGCUGCCCCUCAUUGGCCUCCAGCCCGCAGAGCCGUAGGCUCCGCCCUCGAUUGGCUGGGGAUCACCCUGGCGCCUGAUUGGCUACUGGCCUCCACUGAGGUCAGGGCUGUGUCACACAUAUGGGCGCACGUGGACCUGGGUGCUGGCACUGGGCUGAAGGGCUGCAAACACCGCCCAAUGGAAACAGGACGGCUUGCACAGUGAAUAAUGGAAGGAAAAUGAGGGGGAGGUAAGUUGGCCCUCUUUGGGGAAAAUGCCCAGGCCACAGUGAGUGCUCAAGAAAUGUAUACUUCCUAAACUGACCAGCCUUACCAAACAGGACAACUUGGCCUAUCCAGGGGUAGGGAAAAGGAAGGCAGGCGUUGGGAGCUGGACCAAACUCGAUGAAAUGGCUGGACCCUGUAAGGAACUUUAUGCGGGGGGGACGACAAAACCCGGCUUGAUCUUUCCUGGGUUCUCUCCAGCCUUGUCAUCAUACAUAAUGAAGCUAACCUGGUCCUCUGACACUUCAAAUCCUAAAAGAAGGGCAAGUGAGGGUCCACGUGUGACUGGAGGGUGAGUGGGUGGAGGGAGAAUACAGACAACGGAAGGGGCAGCCAGAGCCAAUGGAGGUUGUGAAGGGAAACAAUGACAGGUGUUUCCACAGCCAAUCGGAGAAUAGGUCUCCCCGCAGGCUACAUAGUGACUAGUGCUUCUCUCCACAGAGCCACCCACACUUAGGACUGCCCCAAAAGAGAGGGCCAGAAAGCUAGGGCUAUAGAGGGAGGAAGGGGGCAGCAAAGACAAGAGGCCAGCUGGAGCCCUAGACAGAGAAGGGGGAGGGGUGUGAUCCCCACUGCUUGAAAAAAGGAAAAGAUUUGGGGGCCCAGUUGGGACUUCAUCUCCUAGUCACUGUACUCUGUAGUGCUCAGAACAGGACCUCAACACAUGAUAGGUGAUUGAUAAACAUGACAAAAUGAUAAUUUUGUAUGUAAAAUGGAUAGGUGUAGGAGGUAAGGAAUGAGGCUCAGAGGUGCAGAGGGGGUCUGAAAAUUGUCAUUUCUUUAAAGAAGGAAAGAGCAGAGCACUGAGCCCUAAAAGGAGAAUAGAGGCUUGAUUUGGGGGAAUAAAGUGCCCGCUUGCAACCAGGAGAACUGUUACACAGCUCCUUCAUCCAGUCAGUAUUAAGUACAGUAGUUCCUCCCAGGGAUUCAUGGAACUGUGGGUAGCAGGUGAAGCAAGUCCCAGGCAACUGCUAACACAGUCAGAUGUGAGUGCCUGCCCCUCCCUGUCACGUGGCCUAAGCUUUCCUUAACAAUGGUGUUUCCCUUGGGUGGGUGAGAGGGACGGGGGCCGCUCUGUGGAAAAGCUGGGACACAGGAGUGUUAUAAAAUAACCCAGAAAAACCGAAGCAAGAAAACAAAACAAAGGAUACAGGAGCCUGAUUCUCAAUCUCCUUGAAACUGAUGCUGUCCUCCCCAACCCACCCCCAUAUACUGUGGAUCUAUCCUUGUGUCAUUUCCAGAACCUCUUCUCUGGAAACAGUUUUUCUCCUCCCCAGCUCUCCUUGGGGAAUUUAGGUGUGAACUCCCCUGACCCAGGCAGUCCUUGCUCGCCCACCUCCAGAUCUGUCUUUUACGUAGAAAAAAAGGUGCUGAGCUCCAGCAGUCUCCACCCACUCCUAAGGCCCAGGUCGUCCUG
This is a long non-coding RNA of Heterocephalus glaber (naked mole-rat), 3389 nucleotides long. NCBI's taxonomy places the organism in Eukaryota, Metazoa, Chordata, Mammalia, Rodentia, Bathyergidae. The record is from Ensembl.